GCUGGGUGUGGUGGCACAUGCCUGUAAUCCCAGUAACUGGGAAAGCUGAGGCAGGAAGAUUGCAAGUUCAAGGCCCUCAACAACUUAUCAAGUCCCAGUCUCAA
Molecule: small RNA, 104 nt
Filed under: Marmota monax (woodchuck)
Lineage: Eukaryota; Metazoa; Chordata; Mammalia; Rodentia; Sciuridae
Source: RNAcentral